RNAcentral lists this transfer RNA (71 nucleotides) under Loxodonta africana (African savanna elephant). It matches the Rfam family "tRNA". Rfam says of the family: Transfer RNA (tRNA) molecules are approximately 80 nucleotides in length. Their secondary structure includes four short double-helical elements and three loops (D, anti-codon, and T loops). The record is from Rfam by way of RNAcentral. Lineage: Eukaryota; Metazoa; Chordata; Mammalia; Proboscidea; Elephantidae.
GCAGUGGUGGUUCAGAAGUAGAAUUCUGACCUUGCAUGCAGGAGACCCAGGUUUGAUUCCCGGCCCAUGCA